UACGUAGGGUGCAAGCGUUAAUCGGAAUUACUGGGCGUAAAGCGUGCGCAGACGGUUAUGUAAGACAGAUGUGAAAUCCCCGGGCUCAACCUGGGAACUGCAUUUGUGACUGCAUAGCUAGAGUACGGUAGAGGGGGAUGGAAUUCCGCGUGUAGCAGUGAAAUGCGUAGAUAUGCGGAGGAACACCGAUGGCGAAGGCAAUCCCCUGGACCUGUACUGACGCUCAUGCACGAAAGCGUGGGGAGCAAACAGG
This 253-nucleotide ribosomal RNA is filed under the name uncultured bacterium. RNAcentral describes it as "partial 16S ribosomal RNA". It matches the Rfam family "Bacterial small subunit ribosomal RNA", at positions 524 to 776 of the family's 1533-position model. The record is from RNAcentral.